RNAcentral lists this long non-coding RNA (648 nucleotides) under Dromaius novaehollandiae (emu). RNAcentral's name for it is "lncRNA (ENSDNVG00000008595.1)". Lineage: Eukaryota; Metazoa; Chordata; Aves; Casuariiformes; Dromaiidae. The record is from RNAcentral.
UUUAACUUUAAUAAAGUAAUAACUUUAAUAAAGCUUAGAAAUUUCAUUGACUGUAGAUAAAAUGAGAGUACAAUAUAAAUCUGGGAGAACAAGAGCUUUGAAAAAGUGUUUCCCGUUUUCCUUAGGAGCUGGCUGAGUGACCUGAACUGUACCUGAUGGGAUGAGCCUUGUAGUCCCACCUGGCUUUGCAACUGGAAGAACAUAUCCAUCACCUGCACGACACUGCUAAUCUCCCAGUACAUAAUUGACAGCUUAAGUGGAGAGAACAGCAUGACGCUCACUGCAGAACAGCAACAACAACAGCAAAUAUUUAAAGGACUUGCUGGGAAAUGGUUGCAUUUAAUAUGCCUGAGAUCUUGUUCUUUUCUGAGAGGAAAGCAGACCCAUGAUCUUGGUCUCUUACAGAGCGACAACUUAGAGGAUUAAAGGAAUCUGCUGAGGACUUUGCUUCUGCUAAAAAUGUCGUCAUAGAAAUGGGCUCCACAGUAAGUACUGUAGUGGCACAAAAGUAUGGUACAGGCAGAGGGUUGCAACAUAAUACAUUUAAAAUUGAUUUUGGAAGGCAUUUUUUGUUAAAAAUAGAGGUGUUCUAGAACCUAAUAUAAGUGUCAUCCAAAAGAGAGAAUAAAGCAGAUCAAUGUCCGCUCA